GGAAGGGAAGCGUUCCUGGUGGGGCGGCCGGAUUUCAAAUCCGGUUGAGGCUGCGUCAGUCUUUGGUGGGUUCGACUCCCACUCCCUUCCGCCA
RNAcentral lists this transfer RNA (94 nucleotides) under Paracoccus sp. pheM1. RNAcentral describes it as "tRNA-Sec". It matches the Rfam family "Selenocysteine transfer RNA". The record is from RNAcentral. Lineage: Bacteria; Pseudomonadati; Pseudomonadota; Alphaproteobacteria; Rhodobacterales; Paracoccaceae.